GCUUGGGCCUCCCGCAGCUGCUGCUUCAAGAGAGAGAUUUCUGAAGUUUUCUGGCCCACCUAGGAGAAAGGGAGAAGCAUUAGGGAAGCUUCUGGCCCUUGUGGGCUGCCAGGCUCUGCAUGGACAGGAAGCUCUUCCCUGUACCUACCGUUGGUUUGAAGACUGAGGGGCGGAUGCGGCACUAGAUGGAGAAAGAAAGGGGAAAGAGGAUGUGAGGCUUCCCCUGCCCAAUCUCAGAGGUUCCCCACCCAGCUGCUUGGAGGGGACCCCCCCAGAAGUUGAACCUGGGCAAAAGGGUCUGCAGGAGAAGGAAGUAGAGAAACAGAAACAGUCCAAUCCAUGCCCCAAGGGAAGCAUAGGGAAAGGGCUAGGACCCUGGGUUCCACAGCUGGAGAGACACAAACAGGAAGGGCCUGGAGAGAGGAAGGAUGGAGCCGGACAAUGGGCAGUGACAUCCGGAGCAGGUCGAGGUCUCAAUUCAGGAGUCUCAGAGCUUGGAAGCAAGAGGAUUUUAACUUUCCCCAUUUGAGCAACGGGAUCAAUACAAUUUCCUGGCUCUGAGAGCUCUAGCUGGGUUCCUGUAGUGGACAGACUCUGACCCUGAAAGUCCAAAUACCUCCCUCACAGGCCAGAGUCACCAGACAAAAGCAGAGAGCCUCAGCUGUGAAAUCCUGGACUACCUUGAAGGAAGGGGAAAACAGCUUCUGGAAGGAAUAAAUGUUUAUGCAUACAUACAUACAUACAUGUUCAAUAUGAUACGUGUGCAUAUAUAUGGGCAUGUGUAACACCAGCCAGGAAUGCAUGGGUGUGUGUACACAUACACACGUGUGUGCAUGUAUGUGUAUAUGUACCUGCCCCUAUAUACGUGAACAUUACAUACUCCUAUACAUGCACGCACCAGGAAAUCUCUGCUCCUUCCGGCCUCCACUCCCCUUCUCGGCCAGCCAGAAGGACGGGGUGGCUCAGCAGGCAAGUCCAGUCCCCAGCAGGUAACCUAGCCAAGCGGCCAGCCCAAGAGGCAGGGGAGGAAACGUCCCCACCCAUGUCUGCGCCUGUCUAGGAGGCGCCUAGCCCGGGACAACCUCACAGACCUUCCCACACUGGAAGCCACGGCUCCAGGCAGAUUUCCGUCCCCGUGCCAGGCCACCUGUCCCGGCCCACCCAGUCUUACGUUCCUGCUUCCACCCAGGUGUCGGUGAAGGUGACCCCCCUGGAACUAGGGCUGGGUCGCCUAGUUCUCUGCGGGGUUCUUAGCAACUAUGCCUGGGUAGGGGGUGUCUUCCCUCCCCCUCAGGGCUGGGGACUGGGGAGGGAGGAGGGAGCAGGGACGGAGAAGCACAGGCGAGGUCGGACGUGGGGCUCCCCUCAAAGCUGCCUCACGGGGUGCAAACAGACUUGACCGAGUGCCAGGCAGAUGAGCGGGGCCACCCCGAUCACCAGCCCGCCUUCCUGGAGCAGCUGCUCUCUCUGAACGGGCCCGGGGCAGAACGGAGCUCUUCCCCGCCCCUCCCACCUUUCGCGGUCCCAAGGACCGAGCUAGGGCCGGAGCUGGGGAGGGGAGGCAGGGGCGCCGGCCUCUGAGUCCCGAGGCUGGCCGGCCAGACUGAGUCGGCUCCCGGUCCGAGCUCUGAGAAGCCAAGCACGGCCGGGGGCUGGGGGCUGGGACCCGGCAGCAAAGGAGAACCCCAACAGAGCCCUGAAGCCCAGAAUCCCAAACCGGCGUCUCCGAACCGGGCCCCGGAGAACCCUCAAUAAGCAAGAAUUCUGAAAGGGCACUCGGAGACUUCUUAAGUCUAGCCUUCCCCUUCCCCGCUAACCCCAUCUUACAGAGGGGGAAACUGAGCCCCGCAGAGAAGGGGCUACGGGCCCAAGGUCACACAGGGGGCUCCUCCUGAGGGGUCCCGGCGAGAUGCGCUGCUGCGCCCGGGUCACCCUCCCUCCCCUUGACCCCUGCCCCACGGUCCGGGAGCGCGCCCAGGUACGCUCACCAUGUUGGCGCCGGCUCUCGCUCCUCGCAGCCCGCCGGCGUCCCAGCGCCCCGAUCGCUCGGCAGCCUCCGCCCUCUCCGAGAUUCGAACCCGCUUUGCUCGGGCUCCCGGCUCGGGAAGGCACUGAAAGCCCGGCCACCGGCUCUGCCGCAGGGACGCAGAGAAAACGCGGUCAGAUCCAGGAACCGGAGCCAGAGUCGGCGAUUCAAGCAGUUCGCCCUGCACCCAGAGGCGGAGGGAAAACCCGGCCUGACUCAGUCCCAGAAUUCGAGCCCCGGCCCGGCCCCAGGAGAGGCGGCCAGCCGGCCAGCCCAGAAAAGCGAGAAUGGAGAAAUGGAAGUCCCGCAGCACGCCGCCCUUCUGGUCGGGAAAGUGUGGGCCACGGUGCCCCCGCCCCCCACGCUCCGGGCUGAGGCAGAUUCCUAGAAGCAUCUCCCUCACCCCUCCUCCCCGAGUGCUCCUGCCCCGUCCUGCUGCCCCCUCGGCGCGCCCUGGGCACACCCCUCCUUCUGAGCCGGCUGCGGGAGGUGGCGGCCACAGGGCCCGCGCUGGGGAGUGUGAAUCUCCCGGCGCUUCUCCGCCUACCUCUUUAUGCCUUCUUCUCGUCUCUUCCACCCAGGAGCACCGCGCACAAAACAAAGAUCAUUUUCUCUGAGAUUAUGAAAAGAGCCCCGCAGGCGAACACGCUCAAAAAAGAGCCGUCUCACACCCAUGCAUGAUAGGUGUGUGUGCACGUAUGCUUACACGUAUGGGUGCAUCUGGCGUCCGCUUUGCUGGAGCGGUCUCUGAGCCGGCCCUUGGAGCAUCCCGCACUGGUGGCUCACAGCGCCAAUGCCCCCCGAGGCAGAUUCGGGGCCCCCUUCUUGCAGAGCCUAAGGCUGUCUCGUCUAAGCCCUCUCCUGGUCAGCGCCGGUCAGAGAAGGAACCUGAACCCAAGUCUUUCUGACUCGGGGAUGGGCAGUUCAUCUAAUACUACGUUACAUUUUAAUAGCGUUUUAAGGAUCACAAUUGCUUUCUAACAUUGUGAGGUAGCUAGUGCCAAUAAUCUUCUCCCCGUUCUAGAAAUGGGAAAAAAAAAACAAAACCCAACAACAACAGCUGGUGUUGUAUUUUACCUAAGCUAUAGUCACUCGACAAAUAGAUGUCAGAAUGGUAACUCCAGACCCGGGUUCUCUGAGACGGCGAAUUCUAAGUCUAAAGCCAGUGCAUAUCUUUCCAAAUUUAUGCACAGUCAGGAAGCUAGAAGAGACAAUGGAUAGAGCUCUGGACCUCAAAUCUCAGAAAGACCUGAGUUCAAAAGUCACUUCAGAUUGUACUUACUGGAGAUGGAGUGUUUUACGUAUAAGCACUUCCAAGUGGGACAGGAUAGCUUCUCUAUAAAAUACUUGGAAGUAAACAAGGUGUAAGAAUGCAAUGUUGGGAAGGGGCCGGGUUAUAAACGCCAAAAGGGAUUUUAUAUUUGAUCUUGAAGGUAAUAGAUUGCUAUUGGGAAUUUUAUAGAGUCCUCAGACCUGCACAACCUCAGUUGUCCCUUUGACAACUGGGUGGAGAAUGGGAUGGAUCUGAGAGAGGCUUGAGAUGAUGAGACCUACCAGAUGACUAUUUCAGUAUUCCUGGUGAUGAGGAUCUGUUCAAGGGUGGUGAUAGGAGAGGAGGAAACCAGAGAUGCUGUGAAGAUAAAAAUGAAAGUAGGGGAUGAUCAGGGAAGAAAAAAAAGAAGA
This is a long non-coding RNA of Sarcophilus harrisii (Tasmanian devil), 3709 nucleotides long. RefSeq lists it as uncharacterized. NCBI's taxonomy places the organism in Eukaryota, Metazoa, Chordata, Mammalia, Dasyuromorphia, Dasyuridae. The record is from RefSeq and is a predicted model, not a curated record. The transcript is spliced from 5 exons.